RNAcentral lists this ribosomal RNA (465 nucleotides) under uncultured bacterium. RNAcentral's name for it is "partial 16S ribosomal RNA". It matches the Rfam family "Bacterial small subunit ribosomal RNA", at positions 28 to 507 of the family's 1533-position model. The record is from RNAcentral.
GACGAACGCUGGCGGCGUGCUUAACACAUGCAAGUCGAACGGAAAGGCCCUGCUUGCCGGGUACUCGAGUGGCGAACGGGUGAGUAACACGUGGGUGAUCUGCCCUGCACUUCGGGAUAAGCCUGGGAAACUGGGUCUAAUACCGGAUAGGGGCCAUUUUUAGUGUGAUGGUUGGAAAGUUUUUUCGGUGUAGGAUGAGCUCGCGGCCUAUCAGCUUGUUGGUGGGGUAAUGGCCUACCAAGGCGGCGACGGGUAGCCGGCCUGAGAGGGUGGACGGCCACAUUGGGACUGAGAUACGGCCCAGACUCCUACGGGAGGCAGCAGUGGGGAAUAUUGCACAAUGGGCGCAAGCCUGAUGCAGCGACGCCGCGUGGGGGAUGACGGCCUUCGGGUUGUAAACUCCUUUCGCUAGGGACGAAGCUUUUUGUGACGGUACCUAGAUAAGAAGCACCGGCUAACUACGUG